CAGCGGCGCCUUUGCAGCGGGGGACUGCCAAUCCCGCCAGGUUCGGAAGAAAGCAACGGUAACAGUCUUCCCGCGUGCCGGAGAACCGCUGCUGCGG
Molecule: signal recognition particle RNA, 97 nt
Filed under: Gammaproteobacteria bacterium
Lineage: Bacteria; Pseudomonadati; Pseudomonadota; Gammaproteobacteria
Description: signal recognition particle sRNA small type
Rfam family: Bacterial small signal recognition particle RNA
About the family: The signal recognition particle (SRP) is a universally conserved ribonucleoprotein involved in the co-translational targeting of proteins to membranes.
Source: RNAcentral